AACGAACGCUGGCGGCAUGCCUAACACAUGCAAGUCGAACGAGACCUUCGGGACUAGUGGCUCACGCGGGCGGAACGCGGGGGAACCUGCCCGUAGGUACCGAAUAACUCCCCGAAAGGGGUGCUAACGCCGGGUAAUGUAUGCGGACCAAAGAUUGAUCGCCUUGGGGUGGGCCCGAGUUGGAUUAGCUUGGUGGUAGUGUAAAAGCCUACGACGGCGACGAUCCAUAGCUGGUCAGAGAGGAAGGGAAGCCACACUGGGACUGAGACACGGCCCAGACUCCUACGCGAGGCAGGAGUGGGGAAUACUGGACAAUGGGGGAAAGCCUGAUCCAGCACUGCCGCGUGAGUGAUGAAGUCCUGAGGGUUGUAAAGCUCUUUUACCCGGGAUGAUAAUGACAGUACCGGGAGAAUAAGCACCGGCUAACUCCGUG
This 433-nucleotide ribosomal RNA is filed under the name uncultured bacterium. Its description in RNAcentral is "partial 16S ribosomal RNA". It matches the Rfam family "Bacterial small subunit ribosomal RNA", at positions 29 to 507 of the family's 1533-position model. The record is from RNAcentral.